UACGUAGGGGGCGAGCGUUGUCCGGAUUUACUGGGCGUAAAGCGCGUGUAGGCGGCGGAAUAAGUCCGUUGUGAAAGCCCUGGGCUCAACCUGGGAAUUGCAGUGGAUACUGGCGAGCUAGAGGAAGCUAGAGGUGAGCGGAACUGAUGGUGGAGCGGUGAAAUGCGUUGAUAUCAUCAGGAACACCGGAGGCGAAGGCGGCUCACUGGGGCUUUUCUGACGCUGAGGAACGAAAGCCAGGGUAGCGAACGGG
RNAcentral lists this ribosomal RNA (253 nucleotides) under uncultured bacterium. RNAcentral describes it as "partial 16S ribosomal RNA". It matches the Rfam family "Bacterial small subunit ribosomal RNA", at positions 524 to 776 of the family's 1533-position model. The record is from RNAcentral.